UUGAAUUAAUGAUCAAGAUUUAUUUUGAGUUUUUAUUUUUUUAUUUCUCUUACCUAACAACUAUUAAUUCAAUGCUUAACAAAAACUUAACUCAACACUGAAUCAUUAUCGUAUUUUACUAUCCACAAAGCAAUGCAUCCGUGUGUGGGGGCAAUAGUUAUGAUCUCCUAGGGAUGGCAUUUACUGGAAGUGUGGCCGUGGGUUUUGUUUUUUACAACUGCAGUUCGUGGGUGCCAUUUAUGGUAUAUCAAUAUUGAUAAGCGCUCUCUAUAACCUUCUUUAACAUGGGGUGGGGUAGUGUCUACAAAACUGAAAAUUUAUGGAUGGAGGCAUAGUUGUAAAGAGUCUUCCAAGUGUUUGUUAUUUUUACCGAAUGAAUAAACUUAUUUGCUUUGAAUCAUCAACGUUGUUCUAUUUGGUUAAUAUUGUAGUAUUAAUUUGUCAUGGAUUCGGGCAUAGUUAUGAACAAUCUUCCAAGUGUUUGUUAUUUUUACUGAAUCAAUAAAAUCAUUUGCUUUGAUGUUUCAAAGGCUG
RNAcentral lists this long non-coding RNA (534 nucleotides) under Citrus sinensis (sweet orange). RNAcentral describes it as "long non-coding RNA (CSIN_LNC000250)". The record is from RNAcentral. Lineage: Eukaryota; Viridiplantae; Streptophyta; Magnoliopsida; Sapindales; Rutaceae.